GUGGCCAUAGCUUAGUGGUUUGAAUUCCUGCCUGUCACGCAGGAGUUCCGGGUUGGUUCCCCGCAGGUGGCA
Molecule: non-coding RNA, 72 nt
Organism: Dunaliella salina
Lineage: Eukaryota; Viridiplantae; Chlorophyta; Chlorophyceae; Chlamydomonadales; Dunaliellaceae
Source: the annotation of a GenBank genome assembly